This 402-nucleotide unclassified non-coding RNA is filed under the name soil metagenome. RNAcentral's name for it is "partial contains 5.8S ribosomal RNA, internal transcribed spacer 2, and large subunit ribosomal RNA". The stretch from base 1 to 121 matches the Rfam family "5.8S ribosomal RNA", at positions 35 to 154 of the family's 154-position model. The record is from RNAcentral.
GAUGAAGAACGUAGUGAAAUGCGAAAAGUAAUGUGAAUUGCAGAAUUCAGUGAAUCAUCGAAUCUUUGAACGCACCUUGCGCCCUUUGGCUAUUCUGAAGGGCAUGCCUGUUUGAGUAUCAUGAACACCUCAACUCUCAUGGUUCGCCAUGAUGAGCUUGGACUUUGGGGGUCUUGCUGGCCUACGGUCGGCUCCUCUCAAAUGAAUCAGCUUGCCAGUGUUUGGUAGAGUCGCAGGUGUGAUAACUAUCUACGCUUGUGGUUUUCUGCCAGAUAACCUUCAGUGAUGGAGGUUCGCUGGAGCUUAUAAAUGUCUCUCCCCAGUGAGGACAGCUUUUUGAACGUUUGAUCUCAAAUCAGGUAGGACUACCCGCUGAACUUAAGCAUAUCAAUAAGCGGAGGA